AUCUAGCUGAAGAAUACCAAAUAGGACGAAACGCUCGUCAUAGAU
Non-coding RNA from Schistosoma haematobium, 45 nucleotides. The record is from Rfam. Lineage: Eukaryota; Metazoa; Platyhelminthes; Trematoda; Strigeidida; Schistosomatidae.